RNAcentral lists this long non-coding RNA (1374 nucleotides) under Equus caballus (horse). RNAcentral's name for it is "lncRNA (ENSECAG00000051562.1)". The record is from RNAcentral. Lineage: Eukaryota; Metazoa; Chordata; Mammalia; Perissodactyla; Equidae.
AUCUUCUUAAGGUAGCAGUGAGGGCCAGUGGACAGGCUGUGGGCUUCAGAUCCCCUUGGUUUUGUGGGACAGACUGAGUUGAGUAACACACUUCUGAACCUCAGGAGCCUCCAAUGUGAAAUGGCGACCACACCUCACCAGGGAUGACACUCUCACAGGGUUUGUGUGAGAUUAAGGGUGAACAGGUUUGCCAAGUGCAACUCAUGAAGGUGCAGUUCUGGGGUGACAAGUCAGGUUGAAUCAGCAUUUAUAACCAGAUUUUGCUGGCCAGUUACUUCCAUCUUCAAAACCACAGUGCCUCACACCUUGCCCUCUCCCCUCAAAAAAUCUGUUCAAGUAUGUCUAGAAUUCCCAGGGUGACCUCUUAUGUGCUCACAAUAGCCGUGCCAGCUUCUUCUGCAAGGAUGUCUUGUUGAUCACACCUGUCUGUCAGCUUCUCAAGGAAGACACGUCCCCCUCUGCUGCUUUUGCUCAUGCGAGCUGUGAAAAGGCUGCUUCUGCCCUCUACGUCUACACCGUCGAUCUGAUCCUUAGGUCCUUUGGACUUCUUGAGUCUGGCUAAAAGUACUGAAUACUCUCUAGGGGAUGUUAGAUUCGGAAAGUGAAAUCAAACGGAUAAGGACUAAUUAUCCCGUGGAUAGCCUCGCCUUUUUGCUAGCGGGGUCCUGUCUAUUAUGCCUCCGGUGUUGUGAAUUUAAUGCCAUUGUAUAGAACGGGCACGGCAAAGCAAACCGCAGCGUCGAGCGAGGAGAGAGGGAAGCGGUCAGGGCGGGGAAGGUGUCGGGUUGACAACCUCGGUUCCCGCGUCUCCCUCGCGGUUCGGUCGGGCACUCGCCCGGGAGCGCGGGUGUUUAAACAGACAGCAUCUGCCACAGCAGCCGGCCCUCCUGCCGCCUCUCAACGGGGGGGAACAUUCAUCUCCCUGGUAUCUUCUGUGCGUUAAUUUAGCAAAACCGUGUUCCUGCGGGUAAGCCAAAGUAAUCAGUACUCACAGGAGAUAAGACUUCGAAAAGACAAUUUGGAGCCAUUCGAACAACUCUAGGUCUCUCUGGUUGAGAUACUUUGGGGAGCAUACACUCAAAAUGUGUAGACAGCCCUUUGGAAUUUGCGAUUUUUGCCCAGAUUAUAAGAUUGUAUUUAUCUGAGAAAUCUCCAGGCAACUGUCUGAAAGCAGACGGGGAUUUCCACUUGACAUGCCCUCAGGGCAUCGGCGAUUCCACAAGAUGGGGAUAUUCUCAAAGGAAAGUAGAGUAGCCCUCUUCAAGGGAAGACGGAUCCGUCCCGAGUUCACAACAACUGGUAGUAUCGCGUCCUUUCUGGGAAGGAAGAGGAGAGCACACAGCAGAUGCUCUUGAGGUUAUUUGUAGACUUACU